RNAcentral lists this ribosomal RNA (466 nucleotides) under uncultured bacterium. RNAcentral's name for it is "partial 16S ribosomal RNA". It matches the Rfam family "Bacterial small subunit ribosomal RNA", at positions 28 to 507 of the family's 1533-position model. The record is from RNAcentral.
GAUGAACGCUGGCGGCGUGCUUAACACAUGCAAGUCGAACGGAAAGGCUCCUGCUUGCAGGGGUACUCGAGUGGCGAACGGGUGAGUAACACGUGGGUGAUCUGGCCUGCACUUCGGGAUAAGCCUGGGAAACUGGGUCUAAUACCGGAUAGGACGAUGGUUUGGAUGCCAUUGUGGAAAGUUUUUUCGGUGUGGGAUGAGCUCGCGGCCUAUCAGCUUGUUGGUGGGGUAAUGGCCUACCAAGGCGUCGACGGGUAGCCGGCCUGAGAGGGUGUACGGCCACAUUGGGACUGAGAUACGGCCCAGACUCCUACGGGAGGCAGCAGUGGGGAAUAUUGCACAAUGGGCGCAAGCCUGAUGCAGCGACGCCGCGUGGGGGAUGACGGCCUUCGGGUUGUAAACUCCUUUCGCUAGGAACGAAGCGCAAGUGACGGUACCUGGAGAAGAAGCACCGGCUAACUACGUG